Camelus dromedarius (Arabian camel) is the source of this 614-nucleotide long non-coding RNA. RefSeq lists it as uncharacterized. The record is from RefSeq and is a predicted model, not a curated record. The transcript is spliced from 3 exons. NCBI's taxonomy places the organism in Eukaryota, Metazoa, Chordata, Mammalia, Artiodactyla, Camelidae.
UAACCAGCUGUCGGCAGCAAGCAAAGGCAUAUCUAUUUGUUGGAUUACCUCCCGCCUCGAUGGAGAGCACCAGGGAGACUGGCGGGUUAGAGAAGAACGUCCGUGCGCACCCACCUGAGCCCACUCCACUCCGUGAAUAGGUGAUCUGGCCCGUCCCUUUCACAUUUUCAGGCCACACCUUCUGAAGUCGCUAGAGACAGAAAAAAUCAGACGGAGCCAGAGAGAUCUCAAAGAUGCUUCCUCAUCACCAGCAAGCAAGAGUCCCAGACAAAAAGAUCUCCGUGUUUGUCUGUCCUCUCUACCAUAUUCUUCCAGGGGAGGGAGGGGAGGCUUCAUGCUGCAUCAAUAAGCACUUACUUGUAAUGAUGGAGGGAAGGGACCAGGUUCUCGGUUCCACCCAUCCUGGGUUGCUGAGGAAGCGCCAAUUAGUAGGCCUUCUGCUUAUGCUCCCCCUAAGUGACAUUCAUAAUGAUGGUCUGCAGGUCACAUAAGACCCUUCAUAAUCACCAAAGAAAGAGUACAUGCAUUCAGGUCGAUUUUUAUAUUAAAUAUAAAUAAAAAUAUGAAUACAGACAUGUAAGUUUGAUUGACUGCACCUGAUCACUUUCCAACUG